AAGACCAAAAACGUAGAAUAUUUCGAGUAUUGUUCGGUAUAUUUUAAAAAGGGCAAAAACUACGUAAAAAUGUCAGAAAAAUGAAGAAGAAGAACAGAAAUUACGUUGCUGGUCGUUGUCAAGGUGCCGAGGGGGCGGUGCUGGUGCAGCCGAACAGCUGUUUUCGUCGACUCGUGGUGGAAAAAAGGAAAAUUCCUGUGCAGAGUGGACAAUGCCGAGGGCGCGCAUCCUGGAAGGGGUGGGGUGGACAGCCGGACAGAGGUCGCCCCCCUCCCCUCGGACUCCAUACGCCGGAUCCGAGCUAUAAUCAUGGCCGGGAGCUCAGAUUCGAUUCCCACCCAGCUACGCCAGACUGCCCGAAUGUGCCGCUGCCGGUGUCCGGAAAAAAUAUCCGUGCCCAGCUUCCUGGGCCCAUUCGGGCCCGCAUCGAUGGCAAUGAGCGUGUGGAGUUGGAAGGAGUCACGGCACUGGCCUGGACCAACAGUCCGAUCAACGGAGAGUGUCGUUCCGUGGAGCUGUAUCGUCUGUCGCAGUUCACCGACAUCCGGGCCGUGUGGACACCGAAAGCAAAAGUGCGGCACAGUCGUCCAAAUUUGUUUCACAACGGCAUAGCUAGCGGCGUGUGACACGCAGUAUUCACGACGUCUGCUCGUGCCCCAAGCAUCUGAUGAUGGAGGACAAGGAGAACUACGGCGUGUAUCCGGCCAGAUAAUUUUAAGUGGCGGCAGUAGUGACAUGAACAAAGACUGUAUAUCCGACUUCUGGCGCUGUGACGAAAGGACCGCCCGGCGGAUCAGUUCAGCUGACAGUCAGCCGAGGGCAGCGACAAGGCUCUGGUCUGCGAUGGUACCACCUGUGACAAUGAGGCCGACUGCUGGAAGCGGCCAGAGGACUUUCAGUGUCCCAUCAACAAGCUUUGCAUAUCGGCCGCGCUGCUCUCCGAUGGCCGGGAACUGUACAAUUUUUUUUCAUUGCGGAGCAUGGCACCUCCUCGAAUAUUCUCGCGCUCCGAGCCAAAGAAUCUAGCUCUAAUGGUUCCAUCGAAGAAAUUAAAUAGUAAGCAGGAAGCCGUCAAGCACUCCCUUUUAAAGACUUUAAAAAUGCAAUAUAGAACCUACCUGAGGUGUAACGCGACCAAGCUGCGGAUGAAGAUGGAGCGAAAAGACUCUGGACGAGUGUGCCACUACCACAAUGCCUUCUGCAAGGACCCCAGGUCCGAAGGCGACACCAGUUUAAGAUGCGCGCUUUUCCCCAAUGAACGAAGGACAAGUUGCUCUGUAUGCCAAAAGCGGAAGAGUUUCAGCAUGAAUAGGCCAAAAUGGGAAAGUUCUUUUUCCCGGUACGCGGACAAGGAAACGAAACCCAAACAAAUAAGCACGGAAGAAGUCAAGCCCGAUGGCAACACUGAAACGCAUUCUACAUGGUUGUGGAAAAGCGAAAGUCCACCAAUAUAUUCCCUGAGGCAACUCCUGCUCUUAUGGCGAAGUUUCUAGCGUCUGGCUAUCCCGUUGAUGAAACAGCAGUCAAGUUUUUAGCGGAGAGGCAUCCGAUCCGUGUACGUCGCACCAGAUUAUGGAAAUAAUCUCAUUCCACACCACCCAAGAGGUCGAGUUUUUGGGCGGGCCCCAAAGCACCUUGCGAACAUGUGCACCUUGCAGUAUUAACAAUAAAUGUAACAUUAAUCGUCGAAUUAGUACUUCCCUUUUUCCAGGUAUUCGUCAUUAUCAUCGCUGGACCUAGGGCUUCGAGCCAACCUUCCGCAGGGGCCGCACUGGUGGAACAUCAUGGAUGAGUCGCCCCAUCAACAGCCGCCAUCGCCACAAAAUCUUUAUAAAUCCUUAUGUAACAGUCGCACUGUACUCUAGAAAAUUGCAGGGAAUAGAGUUAUAAUGUCC
Molecule: RNA transcript, 1895 nt
Organism: Drosophila miranda
Lineage: Eukaryota; Metazoa; Arthropoda; Insecta; Diptera; Drosophilidae
Exons: 6
Source: RefSeq, a predicted model, not a curated record